GCACGAGUGGCGGAACUGGCAAACGCACUGGAUUUAGGUUCCAGCGCCGAAAGGCUUGGGGGUUCGAUUCCCCCCUCGUGCA
RNAcentral lists this transfer RNA (82 nucleotides) under Deltaproteobacteria bacterium. RNAcentral's name for it is "tRNA-Leu". It matches the Rfam family "tRNA". Rfam says of the family: Transfer RNA (tRNA) molecules are approximately 80 nucleotides in length. Their secondary structure includes four short double-helical elements and three loops (D, anti-codon, and T loops). Further hydrogen bonds mediate the characteristic L-shaped molecular structure. tRNAs have two regions of fundamental functional importance: the anti-codon, which is responsible for specific mRNA codon recognition, and the 3' end, to which the tRNAs corresponding amino acid is attached (by aminoacyl-tRNA synthetases). tRNAs cope with the degeneracy of the genetic code in two manners: having more than one tRNA (with a specific anti-codon) for a particular amino acid; and 'wobble' base-pairing, i.e. permitting non-standard base-pairing at the 3rd anti-codon position. The record is from RNAcentral. Lineage: Bacteria; Pseudomonadati; Myxococcota; Myxococcia.